Chlorocebus sabaeus (green monkey) is the source of this 587-nucleotide non-coding RNA. Lineage: Eukaryota; Metazoa; Chordata; Mammalia; Primates; Cercopithecidae. The record is from RefSeq and is a predicted model, not a curated record.
UCAAGCUUUUUGUUUUUAACUGCUUUUAUCCCUGUAUGAGAUAAAGAGAAUUCAAAGUGAAUUCAUUCAAGUCAAGUGAGCUUAUUUUGCAGGAGAUGGGUAUUAAUGUUUUAUUUCAGAGUUUUUGUCAUUCAAUCUGACAGGUGUGGCCAGGCAGGGUUGCUGAAACCAACUCAUCCCCACUCUGGUCUCAUUUCAUCUCCUUGGAUAACAGUCACAGCAGCCACAUGCCAAUGUGCUGAGUCACAUUUUCCAUCAGCAGCAUUUUGCUGUUUGGAAAGUCCUCAAGCAGUGCCGGCUGCCUUAGAGUUGCCUGCAAUAUGGCUCAUGUGUUCCUCACAGACCGCCUGGGAAGUUUGUUAGUCUCAGAGGCAUUUAUUAAAUGUUUAAAACAAAAGCACCGACUGAAGACAAAAGAAACUUCUCUAAUGGAUGAAGUUUGUCCACUGGCAUCAACAGCAAUGAUGUCCUUGCUUCCCAAAGUGUGCACAUUCUUUGCUGAAAAGAAAGGAGAUGAGGUUCCAAGGGAGUAAAGAAUGACUCCAUCAAUACCAGCGUCUGCAUCUGAGGCUUCCACUCUGCCGAUC